This 484-nucleotide ribosomal RNA is filed under the name uncultured bacterium. RNAcentral's name for it is "partial 16S ribosomal RNA". It matches the Rfam family "Bacterial small subunit ribosomal RNA", at positions 28 to 507 of the family's 1533-position model. The record is from RNAcentral.
AUUGAACGCUGGCGGCAUGCCUAACACAUGCAAGUCGAGCGGUUGCGGGGCUCUUGGUCCUGGAGUCAGCCGCGGGGGGGUGUAAUAUGCCUAGGCGUGUGCCUUGUAGGGGGGGAACGCGUCGGAAGACGGGCGAGUAUCCCGCAUGAGUCCUGGAGGAGAACGGGGGGGCUCUUGGGCUCUCGCGGUCGGAGCGGCGGCUAGGUCGGAUUAGCUAGUUGGGGGGGUAAAGGUCUACCAAGGCGACGAUCUGUAACUGGUCUGAGAGGAUGAUCAGCCACACUGGGACUGAGACACGGCCCAGACUCCUACGGGAGGCAGCAGUGGGGAAUUUUGGACAAUGGGCGCAAGCCUGAUCCAGCCAUGCCGCGUGCAGGAUGAAGGCCUUCGGGUUGUAAACUGCUUUUGUACGGAACGAAAAGCAUUCUUUUAAUACAGGAGGGUCAUGACGGUACCGUAAGAAUAAGCACCGGCUAACUACGUG